AUUGAACGCUGGCGGCAGGCCUAACACAUGCAAGUCGAACGAGUGGCGGACGGGUGAGUAAUGUCUGGGAAACUGCCUGAUGGAGGGGGAUAACUACUGGAAACGGUAGCUAAUACCGCAUACCAUCGGAUGUGCCCAGAUGGGAUUAGGUAGUAGGUGGGGUAAAGGCUCACCUAGGCGACGAACACUAGCUGGGCUGAGAGGAAGACCAGCAACCCGGGAACGGAGCCACGGUCCAGACUCCUACGGUAGGCAGCAUUGGGGUAUAUUGCACAAUGGGCGCAAGCCUGAUGCAGCCAUGCCGCGUGUAUGAAGAAGGCCUUCGGGUUGUAAAGUACUUUCAGCGGGGAGGCGUUACCCGCAGAAGAAGCACCGGCUAACUCCGUGCCAGCAGCCGCGGUAAUAC
This 406-nucleotide ribosomal RNA is filed under the name uncultured bacterium. Its description in RNAcentral is "partial 16S ribosomal RNA". It matches the Rfam family "Bacterial small subunit ribosomal RNA", at positions 30 to 526 of the family's 1533-position model. The record is from RNAcentral.